CUCACUCCGUACUUACUGUUUGAAAUGGAUAAAACGGGAAAAAGCUGACAAAAAAAUCUUUGGACUCUUUUUUUAAUUCAGUAAUGAACAUAGUUGAUAUACGUAUUCAACAUUUUAAAGAACAUUUUAUUAUUAACAAUAACCACAAUAAACCUAUUUCUCGUAUCAAACAUAAACUAAAAGAACUAGCCAAGGAAUUUGUUUUUGUCCCGGCCGAUAAAGCUGCUAAUAAUAUUAUUAUUGUUUGACGUAAAUUUUACAUUGAGGUUCUGAAAAAAGAAAUUACCAAUUCACCAACAUUCCAACUGACUCCAUUUUCAGAAAUCGAC
RNAcentral lists this long non-coding RNA (329 nucleotides) under Mytilus galloprovincialis (Mediterranean mussel). Lineage: Eukaryota; Metazoa; Mollusca; Bivalvia; Mytilida; Mytilidae. The record is from RNAcentral.